RNAcentral lists this ribosomal RNA (117 nucleotides) under Lepisosteus oculatus (spotted gar). The record is from RNAcentral. Lineage: Eukaryota; Metazoa; Chordata; Actinopteri; Semionotiformes; Lepisosteidae.
GCCAGCAGUCACAUCCCCCUGCAACUCACAACUGGCAGCCCACUGAAGCUAAGCAUGUGAGCCUGGUCAGUACCUGGAUGGGAGACCUCCUGGGAAAAACUAAGGUUGCUGCUGGAA